UAUAGAGUUGACUAAUGGUUAGUU
RNAcentral lists this transfer RNA (24 nucleotides) under Baikalospongia martinsoni. Its description in RNAcentral is "partial tRNA-Met". Lineage: Eukaryota; Metazoa; Porifera; Demospongiae; Spongillida; Lubomirskiidae. The record is from RNAcentral.